This 380-nucleotide ribosomal RNA is filed under the name uncultured bacterium. RNAcentral describes it as "bacterial SSU rRNA". It matches the Rfam family "Bacterial small subunit ribosomal RNA", at positions 359 to 758 of the family's 1533-position model. The record is from RNAcentral.
UCCAAUUACUGGGCGAGGCCCUGAAGCAGCAACUGCCGCGCUGUGUGAAGAAGGCCUGCGGGCCGUAAAGCACUCCCGGUAGGGAAGAGUAUGACGGUACCUACAGAAGAGGCACCGGCUAACUCCGUGCCAGCAGCCGCGGUAAUACGGAGGGUGCGAGCGUUAAUCGGAAUCACUGGGCGUAAAGCGCGCGUAGGCGGUCUUGUAAGCCGGAUGUGAAAGCCCCGGGCUUAACCUGGGAACUGCAUUCGAUACUGCUUGACUAGAGUAUGGUAGAGGGUAGCGGAAUCCCGGGUGUAGCGGUGAAAUGCGUAGAUAUCCGGAGGAACACCAGUGGCGAAGGCGGCUACCUGGACCAAUACUGACGCUGAGGUGCGAAA